This 66-nucleotide transfer RNA is filed under the name Desulfocarbo indianensis. Its description in RNAcentral is "tRNA-Ser". The record is from RNAcentral. Lineage: Bacteria; Pseudomonadati; Thermodesulfobacteriota; Desulfarculia; Desulfarculales; Desulfarculaceae.
GGGUGCGUACUUGCAGGCGUCCUGUCACGCCGGAGGUCGCGAGUUCGAGUCUCGUCGUCCCCGCCA